AUGCGCGCGAAUACGCUGAGAGCAGCAAUGGCGACGGCCAGGAUGGCGCUGUCGUCGCCGGCAAGAGCGCUCUCGUCCGCGGCCGCGCACCCUCCCGCCUCCGGCGUGGCCAUGGUGCAGGGCGCGUCGCGCGGCAUCGGGCUGGAGUUCGUGAGGCAGCUGCUGCGGAGGAGCGACCAGGGCCGCGUCGUCGCGACGUGCCGCGCCCCCGACUCCGCCGCCGAGCUCCAGGAGCUGAGGCGGGAGCACGCGGGGCGCCUCACCGUGCUGCCGCUGGACGUCACCGACGAGAGCACCAUAGAGGCCGCCGCAGCCGCAGUUGGGGAGACCCACGGAUCCCUCGACCUACUGAUCAAUGCCGCCGGCAUCCUUUCGAUCCAAAAUGUGAUACAGCCAGAGACCUCGUUGAGCAAAGUUCAGAAGUCAUCCCUGCUACUGGCAUAUGAAGUCAAUGCUGUCGGUCCUAUUCUAGUCAUCAAGCAUAUGCGUCCGUUCCUGAAGAUUGGUGCGAGCUUGGAAACAGGGAAAGGUUUUUCGUUGGUUGCAAAUAUGAGCGCUAGGGUUGGCUCGAUUGGAGACAAUGCUCUGGGAGGCUGGCAUUCGUACAGAGCUUCUAAAACAGCACUGAAUCAAUUGACUAAGACUGCGUCAGUCGAGUUGGGCAAGAAGGACAAUAUCGCCUGCAUUUUGCUGCAUCCAGGAACUGUCGACACCGAUCUCUCACGGCCAUUCCAAAGAAAUGUGGCCAAGGAUAAACUCUUCACGAGGGAGUUCUCUGUGCAGAAGCUCCUGUCCAUCAUUGACAAUGCCAAGAAGACUGACAAUGGGAAGUUCUUCGCUUGGGAUGGCCAAGAAAUUCCUUGGUGA
RNAcentral lists this ribosomal RNA (867 nucleotides) under Triticum aestivum (bread wheat). RNAcentral describes it as "partial small subunit ribosomal RNA". The record is from RNAcentral. Lineage: Eukaryota; Viridiplantae; Streptophyta; Magnoliopsida; Poales; Poaceae.